UUUUAUCCCUAAUUUUUGCCCGAACCUUUUCUUUUUUCUUUUUUGGUUCGCCGGGAUGCCCUUUUUUGCCUGGACUCUUUUACUCUUUUUUGUCCAGCGGGUCAAUUUUACGAAGUAUUUUCUAACUGCAUCCGCAUUCACAGGGGAUGGAAAAUCUUCAUCAUCCGUGGUUGUCGACAACAAGGCUCUAUCAGAGAAAACCCUUUUGACCACGAAUGGGAUCCAUAACUGUAUAUCCACUUGCCCGUACGAUCGUUGAGGAGGAAGGAU
Molecule: long non-coding RNA, 270 nt
Filed under: Lathyrus oleraceus (garden pea)
Lineage: Eukaryota; Viridiplantae; Streptophyta; Magnoliopsida; Fabales; Fabaceae
Description: Pisum sativum (pea) long non-coding RNA (PSAT_LNC038170)
Source: RNAcentral